Molecule: microRNA, 17 nt
Filed under: Mus musculus (house mouse)
Lineage: Eukaryota; Metazoa; Chordata; Mammalia; Rodentia; Muridae
Description: microRNA mmu-miR-153-5p
Source: RNAcentral
UUUGUGACGUUGCAGCU